RNAcentral lists this ribosomal RNA (253 nucleotides) under uncultured bacterium. RNAcentral describes it as "partial 16S ribosomal RNA". It matches the Rfam family "Bacterial small subunit ribosomal RNA", at positions 524 to 776 of the family's 1533-position model. The record is from RNAcentral.
UACGUAGGGGGCUAGCGUUGUCCGGAUUUAUUGGGCGUAAAGAGCGUGUAGGCGGCCAGGUAGGUCUGCUGUGAAAACUCGAGGCUCAACCUCGAGACGUCGGCGGAAACCAUCUGGCUAGAGUCCGGAAGAGGAGAGUGGAAUUCCUGGUGUAGCGGUGAAAUGCGCAGAUAUCAGGAAGAACACCCGUGGCGAAGGCGGCUCUCCGGGACGGUACUGACGCUGAGACGCGAAAGCGCGGGGAGCGAACAGG